ANCGANNNNUNACUCCAACCCAAUGUGACGUUACCAAACUGUUGCCUCGGCGGGGUCACGCCCCGGGUGCGUCGCAGCCCCGGAACCAGGCGCCCGCCGGAGGAACCAACCAAACUCUUUCUGUAGUCCCCUCGCGGACGUAUUUCUUACAGCUCUGAGCAAAAAUUCAAAAUGAAUCAAAACUUUCAACAACGGAUCUCUUGGUUCUGGCAUCGAUGAAGAACGCAGCGAAAUGCGAUAAGUAAUGUGAAUUGCAGAAUUCAGUGAAUCAUCGAAUCUUUGAACGCACAUUGCGCCCGCCAGUAUUCUGGCGGGCAUGCCUGUCCGAGCGUCAUUUCAACCCUCGAACCCCUCCGGGGGAUCGGCGUUGGGGAUCGGGACCCCUCACACGGGUGCCGGCCCCUAAAUACAGUGGCGGUCUCGCCGCAGCCUCUCCUGCGCAGUAGUUUGCACAACUCGCACCGGGAGCGCGGCGCGCCCACGUCCGUAAAACACCCAACUUUCUGAAAUGUUGACCUCGGAUCAGGUAGGAAUACCCGCUGAACUUAAGCAUAUCAAUANCCCGAAGGAAAACCUUGUUGGGGGGAUGCAAUUUAAGCACAUGUAAGGUGAUUGCACUUGAACCAAUGGGGGAUGGGGAAGGUGGGGGAUGAAUCACAACAUCCCUUAUCACUUGAUUAUGACUUUGCUACAUGGGACACUACAAAGGCCAUGGAACUCGUAGGGUAAGCCCAUCCCACAAACCAAUCUCACUUCGCAUCCCAGACUGCGACUCGACUGCUUGAACCUGGAAUCGUUAGUGAUCGUAAGAUCAUCAUGCAAUCGUGAAAUAAUCAUUGAAGGGGUUUAUUACGUUCUUGGACGGCUCUGUCCCCACACGCUCUGUCACACCUCGGAGUAGCUGAAGGUAACCUUCUACUACCCACCCCCAGACACGUCGGGACGAU
This 947-nucleotide ribosomal RNA is filed under the name Trichoderma harzianum. RNAcentral describes it as "eukaryotic LSU rRNA". The stretch from base 181 to 334 matches the Rfam family "5.8S ribosomal RNA". Lineage: Eukaryota; Fungi; Ascomycota; Sordariomycetes; Hypocreales; Hypocreaceae. The record is from RNAcentral.